This 488-nucleotide ribosomal RNA is filed under the name uncultured bacterium. RNAcentral describes it as "partial 16S ribosomal RNA". It matches the Rfam family "Bacterial small subunit ribosomal RNA", at positions 29 to 523 of the family's 1533-position model. The record is from RNAcentral.
AACGAACGCUGGCGGCGUGGAUAAGACAUGCAAGUCGAACGGGAUUUCAUUUGUAGCAAUACCGAUGAAGUCUAGUGGCGGACGGGUGCGUAACACGUGAGCAAUCUGCCGGGAAGUGGGGGAUAACUCGCCGAAAGGCGAAUUAAUACCGCAUACGGCCAGGGAGGACAUCCUCCCGAAGCCAAAGUCGCAAGACGCUUCCUGAUGAGCUCGCGGCCUAUCAGCUAGUUGGUGAGGUAACGGCUCACCAAGGCAAUGACGGGUAGCUGGUCUGAGAGGACGACCAGCCACACUGGAACUGAGACACGGUCCAGACACCUACGGGUGGCAGCAGUCGAGAAUUUUUCACAAUGGGGGAAACCCUGAUGGAGCGACGCCGCGUGGAGGAUGAAGGUCUUCGGAUUGUAAACUCCUGUCAAAUGGGAACAAGAAAGUGAUAGUACCAUUAGAGGAAGAGACGGCUAACUCUGUGCCAGCCGCCGCAGUAA